CUCCGUAGGGUUAACCUGCGGAGGGAUCAUUACCGAGUUUACAACUCCCAAACCCCUGUGAACAUACCAAUUGUUGCCUCGGCGGAUCAGCCCGCUCCCGGUAAAACGGGACGGCCCGCCAGAGGACCCCUAAACUCUGUUUCUAUAUGUAACUUCUGAGUAAAACCAUAAAUAAAUCAAAACUUUCAACAACGGAUCUCUUGGUUCUGGCAUCGAUGAAGAACGCAGCAAAAUGCGAUAAGUAAUGUGAAUUGCAGAAUUCAGUGAAUCAUCGAAUCUUUGAACGCACAUUGCGCCCGCCAGUAUUCUGGCGGGCAUGCCUGUUCGAGCGUCAUUUCAACCCUCAAGCCCCCGGGUUUGGUGUUGGGGAUCGGCGAGCCCUUGCGGCAAGCCGGCCCCGAAAUCUAGUGGCGGUCUCGCUGCAGCUUCCAUUGCGUAGUAGUAAAACCCUCGCAACUGGUACGCGGCGCGGCCAAGCCGUUAAACCCCCAACUUCUGAAUGUGACCUCGGAUCAGGUAGA
Molecule: ribosomal RNA, 521 nt
Filed under: Fusarium proliferatum
Lineage: Eukaryota; Fungi; Ascomycota; Sordariomycetes; Hypocreales; Nectriaceae
Description: eukaryotic LSU rRNA
Rfam family: 5.8S ribosomal RNA (bases 181-334)
Source: RNAcentral